GAUGAACGCUGGCGGCGUGCCUAAUACAUGCAAGUCGAGCGAACAGACGAGGAGCUUGCUCCUCUGACGUUAGCGGCGGACGGGUGAGUAACACGUGGAUCACCUACCUAUAAGACUGGGAUAACUUCGGGAAACCGGAGCUAAUACCGGAUAAUAUAUUGCACCGCAUGGUUCAAUAGUGAAAGACGGUUUUGCUGUCACUUAUAGAUGGAUCCGCGCCGCAUUAGCUAGUUGGUAAGGUAACGGCUUACCAAGGCGACGAUGCGUAGCCGACGUGAGAGGGUGAUCGGCCACACUGGAACUGAGACACGGUCCAGACUCCUACGGGAGGCAGCAGUAGGGAAUCUUCCGCAAUGGGCGAAAGCCUGACGGAGCAACGCCGCGUGAGUGAUGAAGGUCUUCGGAUCGUAAAACUCUGUUAUUAGGGAAGAACAAAUGUGUAAGUAACUAUGCACGUCUUGACGGUACCUAAUCAGAAAGCCACGGCUAACUACGUG
Molecule: ribosomal RNA, 497 nt
Filed under: uncultured bacterium
Lineage: Bacteria
Description: partial 16S ribosomal RNA
Rfam family: Bacterial small subunit ribosomal RNA
Source: RNAcentral